CCCUUAGAUGUUCUGGGCCGCACGCGCGCUACACUGACGAAGUCAGCGAGCAUCUCCUACGCCGAAAGGUUCGGGGAAUCUUGUGAAACUUUGUCGUGCUGGGGAUUGAUUUUUGAAAUUCUUGAUCAUCAACGAGGAAUUCCUAGUAAGCGCAAGUCAGCAGCUUGCGUUGAUUACGUCCCUGCCCUUUGUACACACCGCCCGUCGCUACUACCGAUUGAAUGGUUUAGUGAGAUUUUUGGACUGGAACUCUCUUGUUCAGCAAUGAACGAGAGGGACUCUGGGAAGCUAUUCUAACUGUAUCAUUUAGAGGAAGUAAAAGUCGUAACA
RNAcentral lists this ribosomal RNA (330 nucleotides) under uncultured eukaryote. Its description in RNAcentral is "partial 18S ribosomal RNA". It matches the Rfam family "Eukaryotic small subunit ribosomal RNA", at positions 1470 to 1796 of the family's 1831-position model. The record is from RNAcentral.